Molecule: small nuclear RNA, 191 nt
Organism: Phyllostomus discolor (pale spear-nosed bat)
Lineage: Eukaryota; Metazoa; Chordata; Mammalia; Chiroptera; Phyllostomidae
Product: U2 spliceosomal RNA
Exons: 1
Source: RefSeq, a predicted model, not a curated record
AUUGUUUCUCGGCCUUUUGGCUAAGAUCAAGUGUGGUGUCUGUUCUUAUCAAUUUAAUGUCUGAUACAUCUUCUCUCCAAGGACAUUAUAUUAAAUGGAUUUUUGGAGCUGGGAGAUGGAAGAGGAGCUUGCUCUGUCCACUCCAUGCAUCAACCGGGUAUUGUAGUGCUUCUGGGUAUGGCGCACCAAAA